This is a long non-coding RNA of Salmo trutta (river trout), 2139 nucleotides long. The record is from Ensembl. NCBI's taxonomy places the organism in Eukaryota, Metazoa, Chordata, Actinopteri, Salmoniformes, Salmonidae.
AUGAAUUCUGCAGAGGACAGUUCUUCCUCUUCCACACAGAAGACCUCGGUCUGGGCCGACCAGCAAACAGCCACGCCACAGCUGGGAGUUAGCCCUCCGUCUCCCACACACUGCUUUGGGGAUGGGGAAGGAACCAGCUCUGCUAACCCAUCUGAAACACCCAUUUCAACCAGCCCUGCAACCCCAUCUGAAACACCAGUUUCAACCAACCCUUCUAGCCCAUCUCAAACACUUGUUUCACCCCAAAAAAGGAGGACAGCAGAGAAAGGAACCUUUGAUGCAUCACAGCCACAGGGUGAACGUCGCAAGAGGGGGAGGCCACGCAAACACAAGAAACCCCAGACUGACACAGAACACCAGAUCCAUCAGGCCCAGUCCCCGACAGCUACACAUCCAUGUUUACAGCCAGAGGACCAAACAGAGGCUGUGACACUGACACCCAACUUACCUGUAAUACCUGAGGACAGGUGUCAGUCACCUGAUGCCACUUUUGAACCACCAUGCCCCACCUUGGACUUACAGAGCACCAAUAAGGGACAGAGUAAGAACGGGCCCCAUCUCUCCAGUGCUUCUGUUGGACAAGGAGACCUAACAGGCCCUAAUGUUCUAACCACUGGUGGAUACACAUACUCACAGGCCAGGGUGAUGGGGGCUGAACCCAGCCAGAAUGACAGUAUCACUGCCACUGGGAUAUUUUUAAGCAAAUGUGCCAAAGGGCAAAGGACUCUGUGCCAGUCACCACAGAAUCUGAAAGAUGGGAGAAAGACUGCUAAAAAAUCACAAAUUCUUAAGGUCCACCAGCAACAGGAGAGUGAGACUGUGACAAAUGGGGAAAAUACAUCUAAACCCUUCCCGACUAUUAAGGUAGGACAGGAGAAUUGCCUGACACAAAAGACUGGGCGAAAAAGGAAAUAUACAAAAAAAUCACAGAGCCAUAAGGUAGACCAGCCAAGGGACACUGACCAGUCACAGGAGAGUGAGACAGUGAGAAAUGGGAAAAAGACAUCUAUAAAAUCACCAACCCAUAAGAUCGACUGGUCACAGGAGACGGUGAGAAAGAGGACAUAUACCAAAACAUCUCAGACCCCUAAGGGAGAGCAGUCACAAGAGAUGGUAAUAAAGAGGAAAUAUACAAAAAAAACACAGAGCCAUAAGGGAGACAAGCCACAGGAGACUGUGAGAAAUGGGAAAAAGACAACUAUGAAAUCACCAACUCAUCAGGUAGCCCAGUCACAAGAGUUUGUAACAAAAAGGACAAAGGUGUCUAAAAUAUCUUCGACCCACAAGGUAGACCACUCACAAGAAACUGUGAAAAAGAGGAAAUAUACAAAAAAAUCACAGACUCAGGAGGAGACUGGAAAAAAUACAUUGAUGAAAUCACUGACGAAUAAGGUAAGCAAGGUGGCAUCGAAAAAAUCACAAAGCCAUACGGUAGAACAGUCACUGGGGAUUGACCAAUCACAAGAGACCGUGAGAAAGAGGAACUACACACAAAAAUCACAGAAGCAUAAGGAGGACUCGCAUGAGACUGUGAGAAAUGGGGAAAAGACAUCCAAAAAAUCACAGAAGCACAAGGUAGAGUUACGAGACACGGAACAGUCACAGGAGGAGACUGUAAAAAAAAGGAAAUAUACUAAGAAAUCAAAGACCCACAAGGUAGACUCAGGAGUCCUCUCAUUACUCCCUGUGUUAUCUGCAGACCUCUCCCCCAACCUUUCCUCUCCCACAUUCAGCCCUCCUGGGCUCCCAAAGAGAAAAUAUACAAAAAAAUCGCUGACCCUCAAGGUAGACUCAGAUGUCCCAUCCUCACUCAUUGUACUGUCUGCAGACCUCUCCUCCAGCCUGCAGAGUAGCCUCUCUCCUACUCUCAGCCCUUCUGGCAUCCCCUUCUCACCAAACGCACCUAAGAGAGUCAGAGGCAGACCUCAGCGGGUCCAGCAGCAGCUUUUUCUUAGCUCCACGCCAGGCCCUCACCCCAGAUCCUCCACAGGAACAGACAACCCCUUCUCUGCCUCCCUGUCUCACCUGGGACCGGGCUCCAAGACAGAGGGCCCCCAGAACGCCUCACCCAUCACCCCCUGGAAGCUGUUGGAACUAAGCCCUCUGGAGAAGGUACUGUAUUAUCAUCUUCAUCACUGA